RNAcentral lists this long non-coding RNA (477 nucleotides) under Fukomys damarensis (Damara mole-rat). RNAcentral's name for it is "lncRNA (ENSFDAG00000033590.1)". Lineage: Eukaryota; Metazoa; Chordata; Mammalia; Rodentia; Bathyergidae. The record is from RNAcentral.
CAGGACAUCAAGGUAUUCAGGAAAAGACAUGGAAGAUUUCUAGAACUUGUUCAAGCAGAGGCAAGAAUGAUGGGCAAAUCCACCCCACUACCCAGACUCCAGGCUCUGUACCUGAGGUGGCAGAGGGAUGCUGAAGGCAGGAGAGGGAAGGACCACACCGGCAGUAGCUCUCAGGUCCUUUCCCUGGGCAUGCCCCCUUGGGGAUGGCACAGGACUUGACCAAAAUGUAACUAAUGAGCUUCCCACCCAAGCAGCGCUUCUCCUAGGAUUCAUGCUUGCAGGGAAAGGUUGACUAGAGCCACCACCUACUGAGUUAUCUGCUCUGAAAAGCCAGGUGUCCUGGCCACUCCCGCCUCCGGGUCUGUUACCUGCAUCCCCUCCCUGGCCAUACUCUUGGCUCAGCCCCACCUCUGGCUUCCUUUAUACAAUCAGUUGCUCCCUGCUCCCACUACCAUCCUUCCUUCUUUUCCAUCUUCA